GGGCGAUUAGCUCAGUUGGUUAGAGCAUCUGCUUUCCACGCAGAGGGUCAGGGGUUCAAGUCCUCUAUCGCCCACCA
This 77-nucleotide transfer RNA is filed under the name Candidatus Omnitrophota bacterium. RNAcentral's name for it is "tRNA-Gly". It matches the Rfam family "tRNA". Rfam says of the family: Transfer RNA (tRNA) molecules are approximately 80 nucleotides in length. Their secondary structure includes four short double-helical elements and three loops (D, anti-codon, and T loops). Further hydrogen bonds mediate the characteristic L-shaped molecular structure. tRNAs have two regions of fundamental functional importance: the anti-codon, which is responsible for specific mRNA codon recognition, and the 3' end, to which the tRNAs corresponding amino acid is attached (by aminoacyl-tRNA synthetases). tRNAs cope with the degeneracy of the genetic code in two manners: having more than one tRNA (with a specific anti-codon) for a particular amino acid; and 'wobble' base-pairing, i.e. permitting non-standard base-pairing at the 3rd anti-codon position. Lineage: Bacteria; Pseudomonadati; Candidatus Omnitrophota. The record is from RNAcentral.